Molecule: ribosomal RNA, 538 nt
Filed under: uncultured Glomeromycotina
Lineage: Eukaryota; Fungi; Glomeromycota
Description: SSU rRNA
Rfam family: Eukaryotic small subunit ribosomal RNA
Source: RNAcentral
AGGGCAAGUCUGGUGCCAGCAGCCGCGGUAAUUCCAGCUCCAAUAGCGUAUAUUAAAGUUGUUGCAGUUAAAAAGCUCGUAGUUGAAUUUCGGGGUUCUACCGUUGGUCGGGCUUUGUCUGUACUGGCGUGUAGAAUUUCUACCUUCUGGGGAACCAUUAUGUUAUUAAUUUAGCGUAGUGGGAAACCAGGACCUUUACCUUGAAAAAAUUAGAGUGUUCAAAGCAGGCUUAUGUCUGAAUACAUUAGCACGGAAUAAUAGAAUAGGACGGUGGUCCUGUUUUGUUGGUUUCUGAAUCACCGUAAUGAUUAAUAGGGAUAGUUGGGGGCAUUAGUAUUCAAUUGUCAAAGGUGAAAUUCUUGGAUUUAUUGAAGACUAACUUCUGCGAAAGCAUUUGCCAAGGAUGUUUUCAUUAAUCAAGAACGAAAGUUAGGGGAUCGAAGACGAUCAGAUACCGUCGUAGUCUUAACCAUAAACUAUGCCGACUAGGGAUCGGACGAUGUUAAUUUUUCUUGACUCGUUCGGCGCCUUACGGGAA